Molecule: ribosomal RNA, 756 nt
Filed under: Flavobacterium sp.
Lineage: Bacteria; Pseudomonadati; Bacteroidota; Flavobacteriia; Flavobacteriales; Flavobacteriaceae
Description: bacterial SSU rRNA
Rfam family: Bacterial small subunit ribosomal RNA
Source: RNAcentral
AGAGACCGGCGCACGGGUGCGUAACGCGUAUGCAAUCUACCUUUCACAGAGGGAUAGCCCAGAGAAAUUUGGAUUAAUACCUCAUAGUAUAGUACAACGGCAUGGUUGAACUAUUAAAGUCACAACGGUGAAAGAUGAGCAUGCGUCCCAUUAGCUAGUUGGUAAGGUAACGGCUUACCAAGGCUACGAUGGGUAGGGGUCCUGAGAGGGAGAUCCCCCACACUGGUACUGAGACACGGACCAGACUCCUACGGGAGGCAGCAGUGAGGAAUAUUGGACAAUGGGCGCAAGCCUGAUCCAGCCAUGCCGCGUGCAGGAUGACGGUCCUAUGGAUUGUAAACUGCUUUUGCACAGGAAGAAACAACAUUACGUGUAAUGUCUUGACGGUACUGUGAGAAUAAGGAUCGGCUAACUCCGUGCCAGCAGCCGCGGUAAUACGGAGGAUCCAAGCGUUAUCCGGAAUCAUUGGGUUUAAAGGGUCCGUAGGCGGUUUAGUAAGUCAGUGGUGAAAGCCCAUCGCUCAACGGUGGAACGGCCAUUGAUACUGCUAGACUUGAAUUAUUAGGAAGUAACUAGAAUAUGUAGUGUAGCGGUGAAAUGCUUAGAGAUUACAUGGAAUACCAAUUGCGAAGGCAGGUUACUACUAAUGGAUUGACGCUGAUGGACGAAAGCGUGGGUAGCGAACAGGAUUAGAUACCCUGGUAGUCCACGCCGUAAACGAUGGAUACUAGCUGUUGGGCGCAAGUUCAGUGGCUA